UACGUAGGGGGCAAGCGUUGUCCGGAUUUAUUGGGCGUAAAGAGCGUGUAGGCGGCCAGAUAGGUCCGUUGUGAAAACUCGAGGCUCAACCUCGAGACGUCGGUUGAAACCGUACGGCUAGAGUCCGGAAGAGGAGAGUGGAAUUCCCGGUGUAGCGGUGAAAUGCGCAGAUAUCGGGAAGAACACCCGUGGCGAAGGCGGCUCUCUGGGACGGUACUGACGCUGAGACGCGAAAGCGUGGGGAGCGAACAGG
RNAcentral lists this ribosomal RNA (253 nucleotides) under uncultured bacterium. RNAcentral describes it as "partial 16S ribosomal RNA". It matches the Rfam family "Bacterial small subunit ribosomal RNA", at positions 524 to 776 of the family's 1533-position model. The record is from RNAcentral.